GAUGAACGCUGGCGGCGUGCUUAACACAUGCAAGUCGAACGAUUAAAGCCCACUUCGGUGGGUGUAUAGAGUGGCGAACGGGUGAGUAACACGUGGGGAACCUGCCCUUCUCUCUGGGAUAACUCCGGGAAACCGGUGCUAAUACCGGAUACUCCUUGCGGAUCGCAUGGUCUGCUCGGGAAAGCUCCGGCGGAGAAGGAUGGCCCCGCGGCCCAUUAGCUUGUUGGUAGGGUAAUGGCCUACCAAGGCGACGAUGGGUAGCCGCGCUGAGAGGCGGAUCGGCCACACUGGGACUGAGACACGGCCCAGACUCCUACGGGAGGCAG
Molecule: ribosomal RNA, 326 nt
Filed under: uncultured Actinomycetes bacterium
Lineage: Bacteria; Bacillati; Actinomycetota; Actinomycetes
Description: bacterial SSU rRNA
Rfam family: Bacterial small subunit ribosomal RNA
Source: RNAcentral